ACGUGAGGAUCUGAAAAAAUUCUCUUUCCGCUUUGAUGCCUUUGUUGGGAUUCGUGACAACCUGUUACCUGGGGUUAAAGUGCAUUUCACUGCUUACAAGGAAAAGGGAAAAGAGUGUGCCACUGAUAUUUGUGUGCCUCCUGGUGGUACGGAGGAGUUGAAUGCCAUGACUUUUGAAGGAGUUGUCAGCAAGGCCAUACAUGAUCCACAGGCCUCUGCAAAAGACCUGCAUCCAGGAAGAAUCAAAGCCACUGUGUUUGAGAAAGCAAUGGAACUGCCUUUUGGGGUCAAUGACUCCACAGUUACUUUACUGUCCAGUGACCGUGUACAAUUUA
Molecule: long non-coding RNA, 335 nt
Organism: Chanos chanos (milkfish)
Lineage: Eukaryota; Metazoa; Chordata; Actinopteri; Gonorynchiformes; Chanidae
Exons: 3
Source: RefSeq, a predicted model, not a curated record